UCCCUUGUGGCUCAGUUGGUAAAGAAUCCGCCUGCAAUGCGGGAGACCUGGGUUCAAUCCCUGGGUUGGGAA
Molecule: transfer RNA, 72 nt
Filed under: Bos taurus (domestic cattle)
Lineage: Eukaryota; Metazoa; Chordata; Mammalia; Artiodactyla; Bovidae
Also listed under: 4 other names
Rfam family: tRNA
About the family: Transfer RNA (tRNA) molecules are approximately 80 nucleotides in length. Their secondary structure includes four short double-helical elements and three loops (D, anti-codon, and T loops).
Source: Rfam by way of RNAcentral